GCGGCAGUAGCUCAGUGGUAGAAUCCCCGCUUCACAUGCGGGGAGACCUGAAUUCGAUUCCCGGCUGCUCCU
This is a transfer RNA of Toxocara canis (dog roundworm), 72 nucleotides long. It matches the Rfam family "tRNA". Rfam says of the family: Transfer RNA (tRNA) molecules are approximately 80 nucleotides in length. Their secondary structure includes four short double-helical elements and three loops (D, anti-codon, and T loops). Further hydrogen bonds mediate the characteristic L-shaped molecular structure. tRNAs have two regions of fundamental functional importance: the anti-codon, which is responsible for specific mRNA codon recognition, and the 3' end, to which the tRNAs corresponding amino acid is attached (by aminoacyl-tRNA synthetases). tRNAs cope with the degeneracy of the genetic code in two manners: having more than one tRNA (with a specific anti-codon) for a particular amino acid; and 'wobble' base-pairing, i.e. permitting non-standard base-pairing at the 3rd anti-codon position. Lineage: Eukaryota; Metazoa; Nematoda; Chromadorea; Rhabditida; Toxocaridae. The record is from Rfam.